RNAcentral lists this unclassified non-coding RNA (351 nucleotides) under soil metagenome. RNAcentral describes it as "partial contains 5.8S ribosomal RNA, internal transcribed spacer 2, and large subunit ribosomal RNA". The stretch from base 1 to 120 matches the Rfam family "5.8S ribosomal RNA", at positions 35 to 154 of the family's 154-position model. The record is from RNAcentral.
GAUGAAGAACGCAACGAAAUGCGAUAAGUAAUGUGAAUUGCAGAAUUCAGUGAAUCAUCGAAUCUUUGAACGCACAUUGCGCCCGCCAGUAUUCUGGCGGGCAUGCCUGUCUGAGCGUCAUUUCAACCCUCAGCCCCCGCUCGCGGGGCGCUGGCGUUGGGGAUCGGCCGUCCUCGCGGCGGCCGGCCCCGAAACACAGUGGCGGUCUCUCGCGGACUCCCCUGCGUAGUAGCACUACCUCGCAGAAGGGACGAGCGGGCUGACCACGCCGUAAAACCCCCCACUUCUCCAGGUUGACCUCAGAUCAGGUAGGAAUACCCGCUGAACUUAAGCAUAUCAAUAAGCGGAGGA